This 68-nucleotide transfer RNA is filed under the name Chonosia crassipennis. Its description in RNAcentral is "tRNA-Val". The record is from RNAcentral. Lineage: Eukaryota; Metazoa; Arthropoda; Insecta; Hemiptera; Cicadidae.
CUGACUAAAGCUUAACUUAAGCGCUUUAUUUACACUAAUGAGAAUGUUGUUUAAUCAAUAUAGUCUGA